Catharus ustulatus (Swainson's thrush) is the source of this 380-nucleotide long non-coding RNA. RefSeq lists it as uncharacterized. NCBI's taxonomy places the organism in Eukaryota, Metazoa, Chordata, Aves, Passeriformes, Turdidae. The transcript has 3 exons. The record is from RefSeq and is a predicted model, not a curated record.
CUGGUCCACCCUCAGCAUGGACUGGGAUCCAGCCAGCAACUCCCAAACACUGGCCAUGACAGACAUGGGCUUGGAGAAAGGAUCUUCACACCACUCUGGAGAUCAGACAGGGACACGUUAAAAACUGAAGACAGCUCUCCAGAAGCUUAUGCAAAGCUGUGGAGAAACCAAAUCCUUUAUUCUUAAAACCCUUCCAAGGCCCUCUUCAGCCCAUGAGAUCAGCCUCAGACACAAGUGUCUUGGACGUCUGGAUCUGUCUUGGAAUAUCCUAUUCCAGCUGGGAGAACACGCUUAAACAUGAUCAACUUUCAUGAUGUGUUUGAUGAAAGACAGACAUAGAUGUCAUUGCUUCCACUUGCUUCAACAGAUCAAUCCAGGAU